UACGUAGAGUGCAAGCGUUAUCCGGAUUUAUUGGGCGUAAAGCGUAUCGCAGGUGGAUUUGUGCGUGGCGGGUGUAAGCCUUCGGCUCAACCGGGGAAUCGCUCGUCAUACGGCAAAUCUUAGAGUCUGUUGGAGGGAACUGGAAUUCUUUGUGGAGGGGUGAAAUCCGUAGAUACAAAGAGGAACGCCAAGGGUGAAGACAGGUUCCUAUGGCAGCACUGGCACUCAUGAACGACAGCUAGGGGAGCAAAAGGG
Molecule: ribosomal RNA, 255 nt
Filed under: uncultured bacterium
Lineage: Bacteria
Description: partial 16S ribosomal RNA
Rfam family: Bacterial small subunit ribosomal RNA
Source: RNAcentral